Molecule: ribosomal RNA, 319 nt
Filed under: Cercospora nicotianae
Lineage: Eukaryota; Fungi; Ascomycota; Dothideomycetes; Mycosphaerellales; Mycosphaerellaceae
Also listed under: 3 other names
Description: eukaryotic LSU rRNA
Rfam family: Eukaryotic large subunit ribosomal RNA
Source: RNAcentral
AGACCGAUAGCGAACAAGUAGAGUGAUCGAAAGAUGAAAAGUACUUUGGAAAGAGAGUUAAAAAGCACGUGAAAUUGUUGAAAGGGAAGCGCCUGCAACCAGACUUCGCGGCAGUGUUCCGCCGGUCUUCUGACCGGUUCAUUCUCUGUCGCGAGGCCAUCAUCGUCUGGGCCCGCCGGAUAAGACCUGAGGAAUGUGGCUCCCCCUCGGGGGAGUGUUAUAGCCUCUGGUGAUGCGGCGUGGCUCGGGCGAGGUCCGCGCUUCGGCAAGGAUGAUGGCGUAAUGGUUGUCGGCGGCCCGUCUUGAAACACGGACCAAG